RNAcentral lists this ribosomal RNA (552 nucleotides) under Triticum aestivum (bread wheat). RNAcentral describes it as "partial small subunit ribosomal RNA". The record is from RNAcentral. Lineage: Eukaryota; Viridiplantae; Streptophyta; Magnoliopsida; Poales; Poaceae.
AUGGAGCCACCGGAUCCAUCAAAGAAAAGGAAUCUGCCAUGUGAGGAGGGCGGCAAGCAGGGGAACACCAAAAAGCCGAGGUGUGUCCGUCGUGGGGGAGAAAGUACGGAUGGAGAUGCAGCUCAGCUGGUUUGCGGUGGUGCUAGCAACCAAAACACCGAUGUCGACAGAUCCAAUGCCUCGGUUGGUGAGGAGGAGGGAGGAGAAGCACGGCCUCGUAGUGGUCAAAAAAGGAAACGGGUGUUGGUGGACCAGAACAGCUGCAUGGGGGCAAGGGGGCGUAGAUCUAGUAGGACACUAGUUCUUGUUAAUAGAUCUGCGCUCUCGCAGAUUGAAAAUCUACCGAUCGUUCCACACAGUUUCCCAUCAGAGUCGACCCUCCUCUGUGGUAGGGUAGUUAAAUGUACUUGGAGUUGUCAUCAGAUCCUCAAGCUUGGGAUGCUGUACUAUCUGCUAGUUCAUAGGACUGGGAUGGCUAGUCUGUUGACCGCUGCAUGGGAUGGAGAGGCUGAUAGGAGGUUCUACGCUUGGCUGCUGAGUAGGUUUAGGUGA